RNA transcript from Vitis riparia (riverbank grape), 3453 nucleotides. RefSeq lists it as uncharacterized. The record is from RefSeq and is a predicted model, not a curated record. NCBI's taxonomy places the organism in Eukaryota, Viridiplantae, Streptophyta, Magnoliopsida, Vitales, Vitaceae. The transcript has 14 exons.
UCUGUAGCUCUCUGUUUUUCUUGCUCUCCCCCGAAAAUCCCUCCGUCUUUUUUUUUUUCAAGCCCCCCUUUUCCUUUCCUUCCUCCCCCCACCCAUCCCAAAAGAAAAAAACUCUCCUCCUCGGACUACUCCAUACCUACCCCUUUCCAACUUCUCUGCCAGCUUCCCCCAACUGGUUUCUUCUCCACCGAGCCUUCACCAGCUUUACUGCUCACCAUCCACUCAUCUCUCCUCUGUUCAGAAGAAGUCCCCAUCCCAACCACCACCAUGGCGAAGUGGUGGUGUCUUCUUGCCACGCGUCCCACGCAGCUGUUAGCACUUGUGGAGAGGUCGUCCCCCACUUUCCCAAAAAAAAAGGCCAGCUCACUCUUCUGUAGCCAAAGAGGGGUCUACAUAAAGGAGGAGAUGAUAUCGGUUUUUGUGGCUCAUAAUAAAGCAAUGGCGAGGGUCAUUGGGUUGCUGGUUUUCAUCGGAUUUGUUGGAGCUUUGGUGUACUUCAAUGUUUUCACACAUCAACUUGCCCAUGCUCAACUUCAAAUCAGAGCUCGACCUCGACGAAUUCUGAUGGAUACCGACGUCGAUAUGGAUGAUUUCUUCAGUCUCUUCUAUUUGUUGAAGGAAAAUACAUCUGAAUUCAACUUAGAGGCAAUUACACUAAGUGCAAAUGGAUGGUGUGAUAGUGGACACGGCAUAAAUCACAUAUAUGACCUUUUGUUUAUGAUGGGUCGUGAUGAUAUUCCGGUUGGAGUGGGGGGUGAAGGUGGUAUUUUACCAAAUGGUACCAUUCUCCCAAAUGUGGGUGGUUAUCUUCCAAUUAUUGAUCAGGGCACUUCCACUGCAGGUGGUUGCAGAUACAGACAAGCAAUACCAAUGGGUGCCAAGGGACUUUUGGAUAUCGACACUAUGUACGGUUUACGUAAAGGGUUUCUUCCACAGGGUAGCAGGGGAUACUCUCCUCUUGAGCAACCUACUGCACAACAAGUGAUGAUUAAUGCAGUAUCUGCUGGUCCUAUAACCGUGUUUCUUUUGGGUACACACACAAAUUUUGCCAUUUUUCUUAUGAAAAAUCCUCAACUGAAGAAAAAUAUUGAGCAUAUUUAUGUCAUGGGUGGUAGUAUUCAGCCACACUGUCCAAAGAAGAACAACUCCAAGCCAGAAGAGUGUGGUAAUAUUGGCAAUUUGUUUCCAGGCGAUGACAAUCCAUAUGCAGAAUUCAAUUUCUUUGAAGAUCCUUUUGCUGCAUAUGAGGUAUUGCAUUCUGGUAUUCCAGUUACACUGAUUCCACUGGAUGCAACAAACACCAUCCCUAUUACUGAGAAUUUCUUUAAGGCAUUUGAGCAAAAACAGAAUACUUACGAGGCACAAUACAGCUUCAAAGCCAUGAAGAUGGCUCACGAUACCUGGUUCGACAACCACUUCCAUGAGAAUGUUUUCAUGUGGGACUAUUUUAUGGUUGGUGUUGCUUUAUCGAUCAUGCGUAAUUCAGCAAAUGAUAAUGGAGAAAAUGAAUUUGCUGUUAUGGAGUAUAUGAACAUCACAGUGGUUACUUCAAAUGAACCCUAUGGAAUAUCAGAUGGCUCAAAUCCAUUCAAUGAUGGCUCUACAACCUCAAAGUUCAAGAAUGGUGUACAUAGUGGUCAUGUUCAGACUGGAAAUCGAGAUCCAUUUUGCCUUGAGAAGAAUCAGAAAGGGAGAUGUAAGGAUGGUUAUACAAUGGAGGUAACUGGUCCAGACUCAGUGCGUGUCCUUGUAGCUACAGAAGCUAAAAGAAAUCAAGAUGCUAACAGUUUGCUUGACAGAGAAUUUUAUAAAAGCUUCUUGGAUGUUAUAAGCCGUCCUCAGCAAAGCGGGCGGUUUAACAUAUCAACACAAUUUCCUUACUAUGGGGAAAUAUUUUACAAGCCAGAUUUUGGAACAAGAAAAAAGGGAAAACCAUUUGUUUUUGACAUGGAUAUGAGCACGGGAGAUUUGAUAGCUCUUCUAUAUCUCCUGAAAUUACCAGUGGAACAAAUUGACCUCAAGGGAAUAUUGGUAAGUCCAAAUGGCUGGGCAAGUGCUGCAACAAUUGAUAUUGUAUAUGAUGUACUACAUAUGAUGGGUCGGGAUGACAUACCAGUUGGUCUUGGAGAUGUAUUUGCAAUUGGCCAGAAGGAGCAAACCUUCCCUCUUUUUGGAGACUGCAAGUAUAGGAAGGCUAUCCCACUUGGUGGUGGUGGUUUGCUGGACUCUGACACACUUUAUGGGUUCGCUCGUGACUUGCCUCGUAGUCCUAGAAGAUACACAGCAGAAAACUCUGUAAAAUUUGGAGCUCCUCGAGAUACGGAUCACCCUGAAGUUAGGCAACCAUUAGCAUUAGAAGUUUGGAAAUCAAUUGUAGAUUCAACAGAUCCAGGAUCUAAGAUUACUUAUUUGACCAAUGGACCCCUGACUAAUCUAGCCCAAGUAAUCUCUUCAGAGAGAGCGACUUCAGUGAUUCAGGAUCUAUGUAUAGUUGGGGGACACAUUGACAACAAGACAGGAAAUCUCUUCACUGUUCCCUCAAAUGAAUUUGCAGAAUUCAACAUGUUUCUUGACCCUUUAGCAGUAAAGGUGGUGAUGGACUCAAAGCUCAAUGUCACACUCAUUCCACUGGGUGUGCAAAGGAGUGUUAGUUCAUUCAAUCAUGUUCUUCAAAGAUUGGAGCACAAGAAUCAGACCCCUGAAGCUGCAUUUACCCAAAAUCUACUUUCAAGGCUAUCACAAUUACAACAAAAGAGUGACAGAUAUCAUCACAUGGAUACAUUCUUGGGUGAAAUCCUUGGUGCAGUGGUCUUGGCUGGUGAUGAUCCUCUUUUGAACCAAGCAUUCCAACACAUGCCUCUCAAGAUCUUGGCUAAUGGUGUUGUGAAGAAUGAUGGACAGAUUGUCAUUGAUGAAAAACAAGGAAGAUUAGUGAAAGUACUUAGAAGUGUGAAUACUACAGAAUAUUAUGACCAUUUUGCAGAUGUGUUGAAUAACAAAAGUCAGUCUGCUAGGAUUGGAAGCUUCGCUGAGCAGAAAAGAAUAUGGACCACACCACCAAAUAGGUUUCUGUAAUAGGUGCUUCCCUUACUGGCCUAAUGCUUCUGAUCUUUCACUCGAGUGGAUUCUCAUCUCUGGAUGUGGGGGAACUACUGAGCAGCAUAGAUUUUGCUUUAGUGUUUGCAUUAUUUUUUGGUGGCUCUUUUGGUUGGAUACCAUUUUUGAUCUCAGGCUCAGAUACACAGCAGAGACAUCUGUAUCUUUUGGAGCUAGUAACCCUGAAUUUGACAACCAUUUGUAUUUGAAGCAGGCAGUCGAUUUUGAAGACAAAAGAUCCUGAAUAGUAUAUCACGACAUACAACCCUGACUAGUUCAGCCAAUAUUGUCUCCUGGAGAACACGAGCUUGAUGUGUGAUUCAGGUCAGUCUUUUGUAUUCCGGUAGUCCUUUCAUC